Molecule: microRNA precursor, 149 nt
Filed under: Sus scrofa (pig)
Lineage: Eukaryota; Metazoa; Chordata; Mammalia; Artiodactyla; Suidae
Source: RNAcentral
UUGAAGGGAGAUCGACCGUGUUAUAUUCGCUUUAUGGUACUUGAAGGGAGAUCGACCGUGUUAUAUUCGCUUGGCUGACUUCGAAUAAUACAUGGUUGAUCUUUUCUCAGUAUCUGACUUCGAAUAAUACAUGGUUGAUCUUUUCUCAG